Molecule: unclassified non-coding RNA, 2206 nt
Filed under: Leishmania donovani
Lineage: Eukaryota; Euglenozoa; Kinetoplastea; Trypanosomatida; Trypanosomatidae
Description: gene:LdHU3.36.4670(CDS-product:Fungal_domain_of_u nknown_function_(DUF1712)_putative)
Source: RNAcentral
UCCGCGCCGUGCUUGCGUGUGUCUGUGUGGGUGUGUGGAUGCGCAACGGGUACGCCGCAUGGCAUGCACACGCAGAAAGGAAACUGACGUAUCGCUCAACUACAAAAAGUAGGUGCACCUCCGUGCCUUCAAGCACCAGCACAGCUUUAUAAGCAGCAAACUCUUGCUUUUCUCUCUUCUAGCUGCCUGUGUUUGCCUACUUAUCUCCCGGCGCCUCGCUGCCUCGACCGCGCACCGUCCGCCUCUCUCAUGACCCUCACGACAUCGUCGGAUGUCGGCGCACCGCUCAUCAGCCUCGCCGUUUACUGCCCGCUCCUCUGCGCUGAUAAAGAGGAGCAUGGGGCGGACAACAUCCUCUUCUACUUCCCAUCUGACACGCACCUCAACUUGCAGAUGAACCAAGUAGGCUUCUGCAUCGCCAUCAGCUCCCUCGCACCUCGAUUUGGGGUACACUGCAGCCGGCGCCAGACGAUUCGAAAGCAGCGCAGCAGCGUCUGCCUCAUGAGCCCAGCGGAAAAUCUGUGGGUGAGUGCGCACGUGCGUGGCGGCAACGAGGCUGCGCUCACCACUCACCACCUACUACAGCUCAGCUGUACCUUGUUUGAGCUGCUUUACAGCGCAGACACGAUGUUGCAGCUCACGUUACCCAAUAUGGAAAAAGGCAGAAAAGAAGGCCCACACACUGGCACCGGUAGCUCAAAUCCCUCGACGCCGACGACAGACAAGGCCGGCUCCUCCGACACGGCGGCACGUUCGGCGCUGCGGUCUUUCUUUGCCAGAUGCGCCACCUUCAUCUCCAGCGUUUUGGCAGCGCAAUGCAUGGCGCGUGAUGGCGAGACGGGGCGAAUGGGUCGGUCAGGCGCUGCCAUGUCAGCACAGGACUGGGCCCACCACCUCUCCGCCGAAGCAUCAUUUGGGCUCCCGCUACGCUUCGUAAGCGACCGCGAGCUCCCCUCCUUGCAACUGGGACGCGUCGAAGAGGUGGUGCGACACAUUUUGUGGCAGCCUGUUUGCGGAUGUACAGCCGGGCCUGAUGGCGACGCACCGUCGUCGCUGGGCCGUGACAGUGUACACUGCUGUGUCUUUAAUCUGCCAUCGCUGCACGUAGUCAUGGCGGACAGUCGGCUGCCUCGUGUCGUGGUGCAGUCCCUCAAGUACUACCUAGUCCUCUACGCACCGAUCGCAUGUACUUCGUUUCAGUGCCAUGUGCCGCCGGGCGGGCUGUGCGAGGCGGCUGUCUGGUUAGAUGGGAAUGUAGUCGCCGUACUGGUCGAUAUGCAUGAAGACGAAACUGCUAGCGUGUGCGGGCGUGCGGUGUCCCCGUCUCUGAUGGAGCACGCCAGAGUCAUCAGCAGCGAGGUACGCCAGUUACUUAGCAAACCAGCGGCUGGUGCUACUUCAGUGGAGGCGAAAGACGCCUAUUGGCUCUCCAUGCGCGACGUGCCAGCGCAUCAGCUGUACUACAAGUUGACUUUGAAACCGCCAAUCGCGGCAUCAAGCGGGCUUGUCGCACACUGGCGUCUGAGGGGUACCGUAGUAGAGGGAACGCCUUUCCGCCAGGUGGUGCCCGGCCUCGUCGAGUACGUGCGCGCGCUAGUGUACUCGACGAAGCUGUGUCUGCCCUCCUCCACUUCGACCAGCGUGCUGGAGUACUGGACGCGCUGGAACUCUUUCUGGGUUUACCUGCGCUUUGCCGGUGCCACAGUGACCGCCAUCGCCUGGCAGCACCAACAGCACGCGAUGAGUAUCCGCCAGCUUGCCUACGAGGUGCAGCGUCUUCUCCUCGUGGCGCCGUAGUCGAUGACCGUUACCUUUUUUUUUAAUCCCUUCCCCUGACACAACGACGUGCAAGCGCUUUCUCCCAAUGCGCACGCGAGGGUGGAAAUAUAUGUGAUGCAUCAUAUCAUCUCCCCUGGUACGCUGCCACCUUGCUUUCUGUUUCUUUUCUUGGCGUUUUCAUCCUUGGCUGUGUAGGCACUCCGCCCUCUCCCCCCUCCGUCAAGCCUGCUCCUGCUUUCCUCUGUGUGUGUGUGUGUGUGGUUAUGGAGCGUAAGCAAAGAGAAGAGAGAGAGAGGCGGUGCGCGCAGUCGCCAACGUCGAUGAUGCACAGACACACACGCGCACGCGCCGGAUUCCUUUCUUUUCCUUUGAUGGCAACAGAUGUGAGCGAGCGCCUGACUUCUCAAAACGCGCCAAGAGCGAAACG